RNAcentral lists this unclassified non-coding RNA (786 nucleotides) under Zea mays. RNAcentral describes it as "misc RNA Zm00001eb278550". Lineage: Eukaryota; Viridiplantae; Streptophyta; Magnoliopsida; Poales; Poaceae. The record is from RNAcentral.
CUGACCUUGUCGCACGUCGUCUUCUACGUGCUGCGCAUCGACAUGGUCGCCGCCAUGCCAAGAAGCGCAGCAAGAAGGACGCCCGGGCCACACUUGACCCUGAGCGCGUCCGCCGGACCGGUGGUGAUCCUGGCGCUGGUCCCAGCAACACUGCGGCACCUGCCGCAGCAACCGCCAGCGCCACGUCAAGACCGAUGGGUGCGUCCUCCAUCGCCUUCGCCGGAGCGGGUUGCAGAGCGGUUGCGUGAGUCCGAGACCCAGCAGCCACUCCGCCCGAUGCGGUACUGCCCCCUCCAUGGAUGGGGGUCGUGUCCUGCUCGCCAACCGCGGGCUCCUCCAACGGAUGCAGACAAAGCAGCCCCCGUUGUUCGAUCGAGCGGACUGCUCGUUCAAGUCGCCUCUCCAGCGCGCCCUCAUGCCCGGACACGGCUGACUGCGUGGAAAUCAACCGACCCUCGCGGUCGCCCCGUCGGCCAGAUCGCAUCCACGUCCACUGCGACCGUUGCCGUCGAAGCCACCUCUUCCUCCUUCGACGAUGAGAGGAUCGCCUUAGUCUUCGGCGACGGGGUGCAGCAGCGACUGCCUACUCCGACUCCCGACGACGGCCCAUCCGGAACGGUCUCACCGACGGCGCCCUUGAGCCCAAGCGGCAACAAAGUGGUCCGUCGGCUCGCGCACCACCUUUCCCCGCGACCACGUGCGCCGGGGUCGUGGUCUGCAACCGCAAGACCGUCCGACGACGACGUCCGCGAGCGCUCGCGCUCCCUGCCUCGUCGUUUUCCCUGA